Molecule: ribosomal RNA, 582 nt
Filed under: Salmonella enterica subsp. enterica serovar Infantis
Lineage: Bacteria; Pseudomonadati; Pseudomonadota; Gammaproteobacteria; Enterobacterales; Enterobacteriaceae
Description: bacterial LSU rRNA
Rfam family: Bacterial large subunit ribosomal RNA
Source: RNAcentral
GAAGGUGGCCUGUGAGGGUUGCUGGAGGUAUCAGAAGUGCGAAUGCUGACAUAAGUAACGAUAAAGCGGGUGAAAAGCCCGCUCGCCGGAAGACCAAGGGUUCCUGUCCAACGUUAAUCGGGGCAGGGUGAGUCGACCCCUAAGGCGAGGCCGAAAGGCGUAGUCGAUGGGAAACGGGUUAAUAUUCCCGUACUUGGUGUUACUGCGAAGGGGGGACGGAGAAGGCUAUGUUGGCCGGGCGACGGUUGUCCCGGUUUAAGCGUGUAGGUGUGUGUUCCAGGUAAAUCCGGUUCACUUUAACACUGAGGCGUGACGACGAGGCACUACGGUGCUGAAGCAACAAAUGCCCUGCUUCCAGGAAAAGCCUCUAAGCAUCAGGUAACAUCAAAUCGUACCCCAAACCGACACAGGUGGUCAGGUAGAGAAUACCAAGGCGCUUGAGAGAACUCGGGUGAAGGAACUAGGCAAAAUGGUGCCGUAACUUCGGGAGAAGGCACGCUGACACGUAGGUGAAGUGAUUUACUCAUGGAGCUGAAGUCAGUCGAAGAUACCAGCUGGCUGCAACUGUUUAUUAAAAACACA